RNAcentral lists this ribosomal RNA (476 nucleotides) under uncultured Lachnospiraceae bacterium. RNAcentral describes it as "bacterial SSU rRNA". It matches the Rfam family "Bacterial small subunit ribosomal RNA", at positions 28 to 505 of the family's 1533-position model. Lineage: Bacteria; Bacillati; Bacillota; Clostridia; Lachnospirales; Lachnospiraceae. The record is from RNAcentral.
GAUGAACGCUGGCGGCGUGCCUAACACAUGCAAGUCGAGCGAGAAGGUUGUAAUUGAUUCUUCGGAAGAUUUUAUAACUGGACAGCGGCGGACGGGUGAGUAACGCGUGGGCAACCUGCCUUGUACUGGGGGAUAACAUUCUGAAAAGGAUGCUAAUACCGCAUAAGCGCACAGUAUCGCAUGAUACAGUGUGAAAAACUCCGGUGGUACAAGAUGGGCCCGCGUCUGAUUAGCUAGUUGGUGAGAUAAAAGCUCACCAAGGCGACGAUCAGUAGCCGACCUGAGAGGGUGAUCGGCCACAUUGGGACUGAGACACGGCCCAAACUCCUACGGGAGGCAGCAGUGGGGAAUAUUGCACAAUGGGGGAAACCCUGAUGCAGCGACGCCGCGUGAAGGAUGAAGGUUUUCGGAUCGUAAACUUCUAUCAGCAGGGAAGAUAGUGACUGUACCUGACUAAGAAGCCCCGGCUAACUACG